AAGGGGGAAGCAGGAUGUGCUUACUCAUUUUUAUGUGAUCUCAGUGGAGGGAGGAUAAAAUGCUGAUUCCAGUUUCCAGAUUCCCAUUGACUUCUUCCAUCCUAAUUUAUAUUCACAUUUGUCUUCUCCACAGAUAAGCACAGGAAUCCAUUCCUGGAGCCAGAAUGAACAUCUUGGGACCAGCAUCGGAUCUGAAUAUAUGCAGCAGCAUGAACUGACAACAAAAUUC
Molecule: long non-coding RNA, 229 nt
Organism: Gorilla gorilla gorilla (western lowland gorilla)
Lineage: Eukaryota; Metazoa; Chordata; Mammalia; Primates; Hominidae
Exons: 3
Source: RefSeq, a predicted model, not a curated record